Molecule: ribosomal RNA, 497 nt
Filed under: uncultured bacterium
Lineage: Bacteria
Description: partial 16S ribosomal RNA
Rfam family: Bacterial small subunit ribosomal RNA
Source: RNAcentral
GAUGAACGCUGGCGGCGUGCCUAACACAUGCAAGUCGAGCGAAAAGACGAGGAGCUUGCUCCCCUGCCGUUAGCGGCGGACGGGUGAGUAACACGUGGAUAACCUCCCUAUAAGACUGGGACAACCACGGGAAACCGGAGCUAAUACCGGAUAAUAUAUCGAACCGCAUGGCUCAAUAGCAAAAGACGGUUUUGCUGACACCUAUAGAUGGAUCAGCGCCGCCUUAGCUAGGUGGUAAGGUAACGGCUUACCAAGGCAACGAGGCGUAGCCGACAUGAGAGGGUGAUCGGCCACACGGGAAGUGAGACAGGGUCCAGACUCCGACGGGAGGCAGCAGUAGGGAAUCUUCCGCAAUGGGGGAAAGCCUGACGGAGCAACACCGCGUGAGUGAUGAAGGUCUUCGGAUGGUAAAGCUCUGUUGUUAGGGAAGAAGAAAAGUGUAAGUAGCUAUGAAGGUCAUGACGGUACCUGAUCAAGAAGCCACGGCUAACUACGUG